GAUGAACGCUGGCGGCGUGCCUAAUACAUGCAAGUCGAGCGAACAGACGAGGAGCUUGCUCCUCUGACGUUAGCGGCGGACGGGUGAGUAACACGUGGAUAACCUACCUAUAAGACUGGGAUAACUUCGGGAAACCGGAGCUAAUACCGGAUAAUAUAUUGAACCGCAUGGUUCAAUAGUGAAAGACGGUUUUGCUGUCACUUAUAGAUGGAUCCGCGCCGCAUUAGCUAGUUGGUAAGGUAACGGCUUACCAAGGCAACGAUGCGUAGCCGACCUGAGAGGGUGGUCGGCCACACUGGAACUGAGACACGGUCCAGACGCCUACGGGAGGCAGCAGUAGGGAAUCUUCCGGAAAGGGCGAAAGCCGGACGGAGCAACGCCGCGUGAGUGAUGAAGGUCUUCGGAUCGUAAAACUCUGUUAUUGGGGAAGAACAAAUGUGUAAGUAACUAUGCACGUCUUGACGGUACCUAAUCAGAAAGCCACGGCUAACUACGUG
This 497-nucleotide ribosomal RNA is filed under the name uncultured bacterium. RNAcentral describes it as "partial 16S ribosomal RNA". It matches the Rfam family "Bacterial small subunit ribosomal RNA", at positions 28 to 507 of the family's 1533-position model. The record is from RNAcentral.